Molecule: long non-coding RNA, 183 nt
Organism: Leptopilina heterotoma
Lineage: Eukaryota; Metazoa; Arthropoda; Insecta; Hymenoptera; Figitidae
Exons: 2
Source: RefSeq, a predicted model, not a curated record
UAAAAACUUUUCGAAUUUAAAUUUUUUAAAAGUUUUAUAAAUUUGUAUCAUUGAACAAUGUGUCCUGAUGAGCUGUGUUCACAGUGAAAAUGCAUUCGAUGAAAUAAAGUAAUAAUUGCUGAUUUUUAACAACUUUCUCAAAUCUUUUGGACCCAAGGCCACAAUAUAAACAAUUUUAUUUGA